AGUGGAAAAGGAGGAGCCAAAGAAAGAUACUGCGACGGUUUUGUACAUCGGGCACAUUCCUCAUGGGUUUUAUGAGGAACAGAUGGAAGGAUUCUUUAAGCAGUUUGGGAAAAUUAAGAGAUUGAGACUUGCUCGAAA
Molecule: long non-coding RNA, 138 nt
Organism: Ananas comosus (pineapple)
Lineage: Eukaryota; Viridiplantae; Streptophyta; Magnoliopsida; Poales; Bromeliaceae
Exons: 2
Source: RefSeq, a predicted model, not a curated record